This is an RNA transcript of Tripterygium wilfordii, 3343 nucleotides long. It is a transcript of the gene named MND1-interacting protein 1-like, with no coding region annotated. NCBI's taxonomy places the organism in Eukaryota, Viridiplantae, Streptophyta, Magnoliopsida, Celastrales, Celastraceae. The record is from RefSeq and is a predicted model, not a curated record. The transcript has 4 exons.
GGCCAUGCAGUAGAAGUCACUACAAUGGUUGAAGUAGUUGUUCACGAGGGCUAUGUAGUAGAAAUCACUACAGUGACCAUCCCAGACUUCUAGUCUAACUAUUAAAUUUUAAAAAUUAUGUGAACCCCACACUGCAGACACACUGCACAUAUGCGAUUAAAACUGCACCCUAACAUAAAAAUGGAAGUAAAAAUCAUUAACCAUUACAUGAGGAAAUGGGCCGCGCCUAGACAUGGGCUUUUUGAUCAUAUAACAGUGCAGAAGGAAAAGGCUUGUUUGGCCAUGUAAACGUGCCAUCAGUAGUCACCAAGAAGCAGCUUUGAUUUGGUGCAUGCGUUCUCCUCCUCUCUCGUCCAUCAGCCAGCGGCCAUUUUCGUUAAAACCUGUUUUUGAUCGCUGUAUCAUAUAGAUAUAGAAGCACAUACACAUAUAUACACAGAUGGGUUGUACUGUAAGAGAGAAGCAUCUCCGCACGAACAGGAGGAGCCGAUCCUUGAAACCCGAUUCUGAAGCCUGCUGUCAUCUCGAUAGAGCAGCAAUCUCCAAAUCAAUACUUGAAGCGGGUCUCAAACCCCUGAAUUACCAUCUGGGCCAGACCGAUUCGACCCAGAACCCCAAUCUUGCUGCCAAUGCUAGCCCAAAUCCUAAUUUCAAUGAUCAUGGAUGGGGUUACUGCACUGAAGAACAAUUAGAGGAAAUCCUAUUGAAAAACCUUGAAUUUUUGUAUAAUGAAGCCAUAUCUAAGCUUAUGGCAUUGGGUUAUGAUGAGGAUAUUGUGUUGAAGGCCAUAUUGCGUAAUGGGCAUUGCUACGGUGGCAUGGAUGUGCUGACCAAUAUUCUCCAUAACUCAUUGGCUUAUCUGAAUAGUAGUCAUGGUGGUGGUGGUGGUGGCCGUGAGAGUUCACAGGAAUCUGAACCCCUUUUUGCUGAUUUGAGGCAGUUAGAGGAGUACUCGCUGGCAGGUAUGGUGCGUUUGUUGCAACAAGUUAGACCCCAUCUGAGUAAAGGUGAUGCAAUGUGGUGCCUUCUAAUGAGUGAUCUCCAUGUGGGCCGUGCGAGUACUAUGGAAAUUCCUGCGCCUGGAAAUGGUAAUAGAAGUAGUACUCUAUCACAGAGCAAUGGUGAGAGUGUUGAAGAUGACCAGGUAGCUAUUACCGCACCUCCCCUUUGUCGGUUUCACGGUGGGUGGGGGUUUGGAAAUGGGGGCAGCUCAGACUUCUCUACUAAUGAUUUUUUCUCAUAUAGUGCGGAGAUGACUUUGCAAAGGGAUAUCGAGUGUCCGGAGAGGUUCAAUCUUUCCCCUUCCAUGAAGUCUUUGUUGAAAAGGAAUGUUGCAAUGUUCGCUGCUGGUUUUCGGGCAAAUUCAAAACACAUGAUGCAAACUCAGGCUUGUAUUAGUGCUUUAGCUGGUGGGAACACUAAUCAAGUUGUGCCAGGGGGCGAAAUUCCUCUUGAGAAGAAUGUCAAUUCAAAAUAUUUGAAAAGCCAAGAUGGGGUCAAUUUGGUAAUGAGUAAGUUUCGUGAUUUGAAUCUUGAAGAGAAUAUGGAGCAUUCUGGAGAAGAACAGAAGGAUGAGAUCCUAGUAACCCUGCUGCAUCAGGUUAAGGAACUGGAGAGGCAAGUGAAAGAAAGGAAGGAGUGGGCCCACCAGAAGGCAAUGCAGGCUGCAAGAAAGCUUAGUAAUGAUUUGACAGAGCUUAAAAUGCUGAGGAUGGAGAGAGAAGAGACACAGAGAUUGAAGAAGGGAAAACAAACCUUGGAGGACUCGACCAUGAAGAGGCUUACAGAGAUGGAAAAUGCUCUGAGGAAGGCCAGCGGCCAGGUAGACCGGGCAAAUGCGGCUGUACGGCAGCUUGAAACAGAGAAUGCCGAAAUCAGGGCAGAGAUGGAAGCUUCUAAGUUAAGUGAAUCAGAGUCUGUUACAACACGUUUAGAGGUGGAAAAGAGGGAGAAGAAGAGUCAAAAGAGGCUCAUGGCCUGGGACAAACAGAAAAGCAAGUUGCAGGAUGAGAUUGCAGAUGAGAUAGAUAAAAUCAAGGAGUUGCAACGAUGCUUGACGAUGGUGGAGCGGGCUCAAAAAGAAUAUGAGGGAAAGUGGAAGAAGGAAGUGAAGGCAAAAGAGCUGGCCUCGGCCCAAGUGGAGGAGGAAAGACGCUCCAAGGAAGCAGCUGAGGCUAGUAAUAAAAGAAGGCUUGAGGCUCUGCGCCUGAAGAUAGAGAUAGACUUUCAGUGCCAUAAGGACGAUCUCCAAAGACUUGAGCAAGAACUUUUACGUCUGAAAUCAGCUGCGCUGUCCACUGAGUUGAAUCAUCAAUCAAAUACUUUGCCCUCAGGAAAUUCUGAUGGUGCAAAGCCCAAAGGAGAAACAAUUUCUAAUUUGCUUCAUGAACUAGAUGAUCUAGAGGACUCUUCUGAUAAAGAAGGCAACUGUGAGAGGCAAUGCUUUAUUUGCAAGAAAGAUGAAGUUUCUGUAGUUUUUCUGCCCUGUGCCCACCAAGUUAUGUGUGCCAGUUGCAGUGAGAAUUACGGGAAGAAGGGUAAAGCUACUUGUCCAUGCUGCCGAGUUCCAAUUGAACAGAGAAUCCAUGUUUUUGGAGCAAGUUCAUAGUUCAAUUCUGGUUUAAGUUUUUUCUAAUGCCUUCUGGGAGAAAUCUUCAGCCAAAUAAGCAGAGUGCUUAUGACUUAUACAAUGCCAAAUAUCAGAUGACUCAUACAAUGGCAGUGAGGAUUUACUCAUCACAUGGAAUGUGAGUACCAACAGAUACUGUGACUCACAAAGAAAUUUGUUCUAUUAGUUGAGCAGGUUUUUAUGUAGGAGCAAAUGGUUUGAAUCUUCAAACCGAGUUCACGAGUUCAAUUCUCACGGGGAGCAAUAUCAUUGUGCGCAUGGGAUUGACGAUCCGAGUUUAGAUCAUUUAUUAAAUGUCUGAAUGUCCGAAGGGUAAAACUUCUAUGAUAUCGUUUUCGGUUACUAAAAAUAAAAAUGGGGAGCAAGUAGUGAGAAUAUGGUGCCACGUGGAAAAGAGGGUCAGGGGACACAUGGCAAAAGGUGAGCUUCAUGUGUGAGAAGCUGAGAGGGCACGAGACACUGAAGCAGUUGCAAUACAGCUGUUUGAGAACAGGACAGUAUCGUAUGGGGAUGGUCAUAUACAUGUAUAUUAGGUUAACAAUAAGCUAGCCUUUCCAUACUUCCCUUUCUUCGAUGUCAAGUAAGUUUAUUAUUACAGGCAGCUCUAUUGCCCGUGAACCAUGGAGACUCACCACUCAAGCUGUACCUUUUUAAUGCAGAGCCAUCUUGCGGUUGCACCGCUUGAUCAAUUACAGUCAAUAGCCGGUGCUCUUG